AUUGAACGCUGGCGGCAUGCCUUACACAUGCAAGUCGAACGGCAGCACGGGAGCUUGCUCCUGGUGGCGAGUGGCGAACGGGUGAGUAAAGUAUCGGAACAUGCCCUGAAGUGGGGGAUAACGUAGCGAAAGUUACGCUAAUACCGCAUAUUCUGUGAGCAGGAAAGCAGGGGAUCGCAAGACCUUGCGCUUUAGGAGUGGCCGAUAUCGGAUUAGCUAGUUGGUGAGGUAAAGGCUCACCAAGGCGACGAUCCGUAGCGGGUCUGAGAGGAUGAUCCGCCACACUGGGACUGAGACACGGCCCAGACUCCUACGGGAGGCAGCAGUGGGGAAUUUUGGACAAUGGGCGCAAGCCUGAUCCAGCCAUGCCGCGUGAGUGAAGAAGGCCUCGGUUGUAAAGCUCUUUCGUCGGGAGGAAAGUAGGCGCGUUCUAAUACAGGCGUUGAUGACGGUACCCGCGAUAAGAAGACACCGGCGUAACUACGUGCC
Molecule: ribosomal RNA, 489 nt
Filed under: uncultured bacterium
Lineage: Bacteria
Description: bacterial SSU rRNA
Rfam family: Bacterial small subunit ribosomal RNA
Source: RNAcentral